Molecule: ribosomal RNA, 253 nt
Filed under: uncultured bacterium
Lineage: Bacteria
Description: partial 16S ribosomal RNA
Rfam family: Bacterial small subunit ribosomal RNA
Source: RNAcentral
UACGAAGGGGGCUAGCGUUGCUCGGAAUCACUGGGCGUAAAGGGUGCGUAGGCGGGUCUUUAAGUCAGGGGUGAAAUCCUGGAGCUCAACUCCAGAACUGCCUUUGAUACUGAAGAUCUUGAGUUCGGGAGAGGUGAGUGGAACUGCGAGUGUAGAGGUGAAAUUCGUAGAUAUUCGCAAGAACACCAGUGGCGAAGGCGGCUCACUGGCCCGAUACUGACGCUGAGACGCGAAAGUGCGGGGAUCAAACAGG